Dromaius novaehollandiae (emu) is the source of this 13718-nucleotide RNA transcript. It is a transcript of the gene named potassium voltage-gated channel subfamily C member 1, with no coding region annotated. The record is from RefSeq and is a predicted model, not a curated record. The transcript has 3 exons. Lineage: Eukaryota; Metazoa; Chordata; Aves; Casuariiformes; Dromaiidae.
GGCGGCGGCGGCGGCGGCGGCGGCAGGAGCAGCGGCAGCGGCGGCGCCGCCGGGUCCCGGCCGCCGGCAGCGGCAGCGCGGGGGAGCCGGAGCGCCGAGCCGAGCCGAGCCGAGCCGAGCCGAGCCGAGCCGAGGCGCGGCGGCCGCGCUGUCCCUUCAGCACCGCCGGUGCCCCCGCGGGUGCGGGCCGGCCCCGCCGCGGGAGCCCGCGGGGGGCUUCCCCUUUUUUUCCUUUUUUCCCCUUGAUUUUUGAGGCCUUUCCGCGCUUUGCGCCCCGCGCCGCCGGGCCCCCGCCGCCCGCAUGCCGCCCGCCGCGGCGCCGUAGCGCGGGGCGGCCCCGCGGCCGGCUCCCCCCGCCGGCGCCCCCACCCCGCUCCGCAUGCAGCCGCGACAUGCCCGAUAAGCGACGCGAUGGGCCAGGGCGACGAGAGCGACCGCAUCGUGAUCAACGUGGGAGGCACCAGGCACCAGACGUACCGCAGCACCCUGCGCACCCUGCCCGGCACCCGCCUCGCCUGGAUCGCCGAGCCCGACGCCCACAGCCACUUCGACUACGACCCCCGCACCGACGAGUUCUUCUUCGACCGCCACCCCGGCGUCUUCGCCCACAUCCUCAACUACUACCGCACGGGCAAGCUGCACUGCCCCGCCGACGUGUGCGGCCCCCUCUACGAGGAGGAGCUGGCCUUCUGGGGCAUCGAUGAGACCGACGUGGAGCCCUGCUGCUGGAUGACCUACCGGCAGCACCGCGACGCCGAGGAGGCGCUGGACAGCUUCGGCGGGGCGCCCCUGGACAGCAGCGCCGAGGACGGCGACGUCGAUGGCACCGGGGACUCCGGCGACGGCGAAGAGGAGCUGGAGAUGACCAAACGCCUGGCGCUCAGCGACUCCCCCGACGGCAGGUCUGGGGGCUUCUGGAGGAGGUGGCAGCCCCGCAUCUGGGCGCUCUUCGAGGACCCCUACUCCUCCCGAUACGCAAGGUAUGUGGCAUUUGCCUCCCUCUUCUUCAUUCUGGUCUCCAUCACGACCUUCUGCCUUGAGACCCACGAGAGAUUUAACCCCAUUGUGAACAAGACAGAAACUGAAUUCAUCGGGAAUGACACCCAGGUGCGGCACUACAGGGAAGCAGAGACUGAGGCCUUUCUCACCUACAUCGAAGGUGUCUGUGUGGUCUGGUUUACAUUUGAGUUCUUGAUGAGAGUCACUUUCUGCCCAAACAAGGUGGAAUUUAUCAAAAACUCUUUGAACAUCAUUGACUUUGUGGCCAUACUGCCUUUCUAUCUAGAGGUUGGACUCAGUGGCCUGUCUUCCAAAGCUGCUAAGGAUGUCCUGGGCUUCCUCCGCGUAGUCCGUUUCGUGCGAAUCCUGCGAAUUUUCAAGCUGACCCGCCACUUUGUUGGGUUGCGGGUCUUGGGACACACUCUCCGUGCCAGCACAAACGAAUUCUUGCUGCUCAUCAUAUUUUUGGCAUUGGGCGUCUUAAUCUUUGCCACGAUGAUCUAUUAUGCCGAGAGAAUAGGUGCUAAACCAAAUGACCCUAGUGCCAGUGAACACACACACUUUAAAAAUAUCCCCAUCGGCUUCUGGUGGGCUGUUGUCACCAUGACGACCCUGGGCUACGGAGACAUGUAUCCUCAGACUUGGUCAGGCAUGCUGGUGGGGGCCCUCUGUGCUCUUGCUGGUGUGCUGACCAUUGCCAUGCCUGUCCCUGUCAUUGUGAACAAUUUCGGAAUGUAUUACUCCUUAGCUAUGGCUAAGCAGAAGCUACCAAAGAAAAAAAAGAAGCAUAUCCCGAGGCCACCCCAGCUGGGAUCCCCCAAUUAUUGUAAAUCUGUCGUAAACUCUCCACACCACAGUACUCAGAGCGACACUUGCCCACUGGCCCAAGAAGAAAUUUUAGAAAUUAACAGAGCAGGUAGGAAACCUCUUAGAGGAAUGUCCAUCUGACCUUUAAUCUCCAUCCCGCGUAGUGAUUUCAGAUACAGCCAGACUGCUUUCUUAGAGCAAUGGGUAGCACAUUUAUCCAUUCUAGUCCCACCAUCACACAGUGAAUAAUAUGUGUGAAGUCUAGGUUGCAGGGACAAAUGGUACAGUGGAGGCUGAUCAGCAAAAGUAAGGUAGAGAGCAUGCUCUAGGAGCCCAAACUUUGGUCCUGGUAAGGGCAUACAAGUCUCAAGAUAUUUUUAAGAGCUGUUACAUCUAGUGGAAGAAUUGGGAGAGUUCUACAGCUAUGUUGCUGGACUGCGUAAUGCAUCUCAGAGGCUCCUGAGAUCUGAACGCUUCACAGAGCAGAGUAGGAGCCAAGUACUCAGCAAUUACAGAGUUUUUUGACAAAACAGGGCUGGAAUUUGAACCAGCCAGAUACUUGCUCAUUUGUUCCCAAUUGGGACCUUUCAGCUGUUUUAAAUGGCAGAUAUUGUACAUCUCAUAAAAGAAACUAGGUGCCUAGUAAGUAGAAGGGACAACUAUACCAUCAUGCAUAUUCAUGAGACGAUCCCGUCUCUUUCUGAUGAUUAACUGCAAAGUAGAACAACAGCUCAAAUUCUUGACACUAAUACAAAAUGACUCACUCUGAGACAAGACUAGAUGUAAGGAUGUUUAUACCAUGGCAUGCAAACCAAUCUAUUCUAUAUUCCACUAGAAUUUAGCAUUUAGAGCUAUGAAGAGUUUUGAACUACAAUUUCUAAAAUAUGCUCCUUUUGCAACUAUGGGUUGGUGAGUUAUAGCUCUUUCAACCUUCUGGCAGUAAAGGCUGACUGGAAAGGGUCUGACGGUCAUUACUGGCAGGUUUGGCCUACACAGUGAUUGCCUCAUAAUAUGGUAUUCUUAUUUUUUUAAUUAUACUGAUUCAUGUCAGCAAUAGGCGAAACCAGAGCAAAAUUAAUCAUACUAAUUCUACUGGGGGGGAGGGAAAUACUAGUCACCAUGGAAUAUAUUAUAAUAUUCCAUGGCUAGUGGUUAAUUAUGGGAAUAUCUCAGUUUUAUGAGAAUCCUCAUAUAGCACAUAAAAUUACGGGGCUCCAGUUUGAUUAUUUCAACCCCAUAAUCUACCUCUACCUAUGGAAUAUCACUAUUUAUUCUGUGGAGUCAGUACUUUCGAAGUAGAUAACCAUGUUGAAAACAAAGCCAACUCCGUUUUUGGCAGAUGUUCCAGCCAAGUUGCAUAGCAGACAUCCUUCAGCCUAUUCAAAAUAUUCCCACAUAUUGUAUUAGAUAGAACAGAUUGCCAAUCAAGUGAUUUAGACUGACAUCUAGUCAACAAGAGGUGUUUUGAAAGAGCUAGCAUAUACCUAUGAUGGUCUUGUGUUAUCAUUUUUUUACUUUGAAGAAAAUUCUAAUUUGUUACUCAUCACAAGUGAAGUAUUCUCUCUUCAUCUCAUAGCCAUGCAUGUCGAUGUCAUUGUGAGAGGCACAAAGAAAGUGAGACUUUCCUUUGUGUGCGACUUCACCAAUGCCCGUGCUAAUUUUGGAGGGGAAGAACUGGUGGGACCUUCUCUCUUCUUUCCUCUUCACUUCCUUACUCUUCUUCUUUCUUUUCCCUCCUGUGCAACUAUGUAAAAUCCAUUUAGAAGGUAAAGAGCUUUCAUUUUUUUGUUAAAGAUUACUCCAUUGCAACAGGCCAACCACAAUUCACAUGACUGAUAGACUGUCUGUAUCUUCUGCGCAUAAGCGCAUGGUUUUAUCAUCCAUUCCCCUCAGGUUGCAAAUGCUAAUCACAAGUCACGUGCAAGCAGCAAUCUUCCUCAUAAGUAGAUGUCUCUGUGGCAUUACAUAUCAAGUGGGAAAGAGGGCGCUAACAAGACUGCAUGUCUCCUACUGGGAGCAAUAUGCCAACUACCCAACUGUAAUGUGCAAGAAAUGCAAGACUUCUUGAGUACUUUAGCAGUCAGCUACAGAGUGACUUUCUUCUCAAAACUCCCUUGUUUUAUAAAUUUCCUUCCAUUACAUACCCUGGUCCUCUCAAGGAACUAGAGGACUAAGAACUCUACGAGUUCAAUGCGAUUCCACACUGGUAUCCUGAGAAUACGUGUAAUUUUGGUUCAAUGUGGAACUGUUUUGCCACCAUCAGUGCUCUAAAACCAGCUGUUAUUACAAUAUCCAUGAAGUAUUGAUAGUAACAGCAACUUAUCUAUUUCUGCAAUAAUUAAUUAAAAGAGACUAUUUUUAUAUACAUAUAGAAGCAUAUAUAUUUUCAAAAGUAGCAAAGACACUUGUACUUCGGCUAAUGAAAUGGACUCAGUAACACUGUUACUGGAGAUCUGUUUCUGAUAAUUAUUAUGCACCACUAGCAGCAAAAAAUAUUACCUGUAGCUCUUAGCUUCCUAACAGGGAAAGAUCUAUAUGUGCGCAAGAGAAAAGCAGAAGAUAGUAAAUAAGGUCAGAACUUGAACUGUUAAAACUAGAUCUUCAUUGCCUUGGAUAUUGAGGUUCACUUAUGCAAUAUGAAGCACUCAUAGGCACUGACUUGUUCCUGAAACUAUAACCUCCACAUUAUAUGAAAACAGAGAUUUGCAAGUAGUGAAUGCUCUCUGUAUAGUAAAAUAUUUGGAUUAGUUAACACCAACCAAUUGCAGACAACCAGCUGACGUUGUACUAGGAACUCAGAGCAGGUUCCUCAGACCUAAUGUGUUUCUAAAAUGAUGCCCAAGUUGUUCAAGGUAUAUCCUGUAACUUUUAAUUGUAAAGCUUCAGUGUGGUAGGUGAUAUAAGGUCAUAUGAUGUACAUCUAAUAUAAAAAACAGCCUGUCUAGGCUCAUGAGUAAAGAAUGUCACAUGAAGUUACUUAUUCCACAUAUUACAUGGGGUGGAAUCAUUAAAUGCCUAAAAAAAGAGUGAUGAGUAUGAAAUAGUUCCACAUAUGCCUACCUCGCUGUAGCACUGUGCCCCCUUAUUUACUGAAUCAGCAGUUCACAGCUCUUCUAGGUCCCAGCCACAAACAGGGUCAACGCGGCUCUACAGAGAGCUCUGCACAGCCCCAUCCCAGCGCCUCCUUGCAGGCUAAGCAGCGCUUUGCUCGCACGGACCUGCCAGCAGCAGAACUUUGCCCACAGGCUGCACAGCUGCUGCCAGUGAUGCUGUAGUCAUUUGGAGGAGAAGCAAAGAUGUUUUGAAUUGAAAUUCUGCUACGUUUGAAUUGAAUUUUUAAAUUAGCCACAACACUCUCAGCAGCAUAGUCCUGGUACAAUUUUCAUCUGGCAGGAGGGUAUCUUUAAAUAACAGCACCUGAUUUUGAUUUGAUAAAGCAUUAAGGAUGUCAGAGUUUGACUCUAGCACACCUCCCCUCACUGCAGCAACUCUUCCUGCUCUCCACCCCAUCCGUUGCCGUCAGCAGGUGGGUGGGAGAGUGACACAAGGGGACGGGCGUCAUUCCAGAGAGAGGAUGGUGAAGCUACUCCUCCAGGCAGGCCUCCCCCACCAGCACUAAGAAAGCAGAGAUCUGCCCUAUACUAAAAAUGUUCUCUAAGGACAAUUCUGGUGACCAUAAAUUCUCAGGAUACUGCUUAUACAGUGCCUGGAGGAACUGGGCCCGCAAUGAUACAAAAGAGCAGAUCCCACCUGACCAAUUUGACUAAAACUCCUUGACCUGAGCUAUUUCACAGACUAGAGAGGACCAGUUGUCUCCUCACUUAACAUAUGCAUGCUAAGUCCUCACAUCACCACAUUGAACUAUGAAGUUCAUUAUGCUGCAGUGUUGCCAGAAGGCCCCAUUCAAGACAAGGGCUUCAUUUUGCCAUCGUCAUAUGAGACAACCCCCACCUUACAACCAAAUAUCUGGCAGCCUACGUAGACAACAAAGAGAAAAUAGACGUAAUCUCCAGUAUUUCCAUUUGACACAUGGCUUAAAUCAAUAAUUGACCAAGAUCGCUUGAAAGAUAGGUGGCAAAGCUAUUAAUUGAACAUAACUAAAUAAGCACCAAUCAUAACCACAGAUCCCUGUAUUGUAGUGUCUUUCAUCUAAAGGUUUCUGAGUAUUUCAGUCAGUAGCAUAAUUCAUCAUGCUGUAUGAAAAUCAAAAAGAAGCAAAACAAAAAGUUAGCCUAAACCACUUAAACUUAGCUCAUUCUGCCCCAAACCACACUCUGCCCUGCAAGUACAAAUAAUUUAUCUCAGUGCAUGUGGCAACAAAUUUUAAGGGGCAACCUUUUAAGGAAACCUCAUAACAUGCAAAACAAAUCUUGAAAGCACCCAGCUUUGGGCUUUGUUAUAAAAGUGUUACUCAGCUCUUUAGGCCCUGUCUUCGGUGAGCUGUGAACUUACCUCAAAACAGGUUGAUUGCAUGGUUAUACCUUAAAGCAGCCACAGGAUGAAGUAAUCAAUGUCAUUUUCCAGUGCUGUAAAAGAAAUUUAGAAUAAGAAUGGAAUUCAUAACUUCAUUUGAUGUCUAUAGCACCCUCUGGUGCCACAGAGCAAUGGUCUUAAGAAUAUACAUAUAAUAUACAAUAUGAGAGAUAGGUUAUUUUUAUUUCUUGUUAAGAGAUCUACCCCAAACUUUCAUUGUUUCUGUACAAAUAUUUACAGAACCAGGGCACACAAUGUUUAUGUUGACUUUAAUAUGGCCAAAAUAAUAAUUGCUCACAUCUCUUUGAUUCCCUCUGCAUGCAGUUUCACUUAAGCUAUUCUCUGAGGAUAGAGCAUCUUCAUAUAAAUUUACUGUGCAACCAGGUUGGGCAACUUUUUCACAGUAUGCUGAUGGCAAAAUUCUCUACUCAUUGCAUAGCUGAGAAAUAUGGAAGAAACAUUAUUAGAUUCCAAGGGCCUAAGAGGGGAGGAAAAAUACCCAUGUCAUUGCUAAUUCCAUUUUAGCUUUGGAAUAACUUCUGUGGUUGUUUCACCUCCCUGCCCAAAAAAGGGUUUUCCAGUACCCACUCCUUGACAAGCCCAAUGUCUGAACAGACAGAGCCACCCAAGUCUAUCACUGACAGAGGGGAACUAUAUGGCUUUAAUGACUCCCGCGUACUCUAUGGUCACAUGAACUGGAGCAAGCUGUACUAUUAGCAACUUAUUAUUUCAAUGCAAUUUACUGAUUUCUAUUUAAAAAUAUAAUGUAGAAUUGCCUAUUUCAGCUUUAUCACUAAUGCUUUCUGAAGGAGCUGAUCUUUUCUUGAGACUAUAUUUUUCUUCCCUUCCGCCACAGUAAGCUAAAUAACCUGUGUUCCUUGUGCAACACACCGUUUCUAACAUCAGAAGUGUGCUGAGCACUCUAAUUCCAGUGCCAAUGCUCAGUGGGAACUGGGGACUCUUGGCAGUUCUUGCCACAGGCCUAUUCUGCUGUCUGACAUAUAGCUCUACUGUGGAAACUUCCAUGGCUUUUAUGGAGAGCAAAGCAGCAUUAAAGCCAUCUAUAUGUAGUCACUGUGGUAAUCCUUCAAUCCACAGGGAAGAGAACUCUCUGAUCAAAUGCCUUUGAACAUUUUUUAAAAAAAGCUAUCUUCAGUGUCAUAACAGCUUUGACCCCUUCUGUAAGAUGGGCAGCAGACAGCGAAGCAACUGCAAAGGGCUUAAUUCUGGUUGAGCUCAGAAGACUCUGAUGUUUGUAUACAUUGGACAUAAAACAUUAAAAAGGCAGUGUAAAACGUAACAGGGAGAUGUUUUUUCUUUCCUCCCUAUACUUAGCCUUCCUAGCCUUUAAAACUCCAGAAUUCACUACUGCUAAUAGCAAAUGUUAGCUUUUAUAGAGAAAUGAGGUAAGGACUACAUCCCGAUGUCACAGAAGAUGGAGGCUGGGUCCUCUGGAUCUAAUGCAGAGACUGUAAAAAUUCAAAAUAAAAGGAUUAAGGCUCAGUUUUUCCUCUGACUUAAGAUGCAUUUGCCUGAGGUCCCCUUUGUAUUGAAAGAAGAGUUAGGCAGUCUCAGAGAAUAAUUUACACAUCUAUGAUCUGAACUGCCCUCUAGAGGUGGCUAUCUCCAUAACUGACCUAAGGUGGCUGCAGCUCUAACUUCAGGUGCUCAGUUAAGUGCCUGCAGUUAGGUGGGAGGAAUCUGGAUCUGUUCUCCCCAUGCGGCAUUUCUACAAUCUCAUAACUGUGGAUCACACACAAAGCAAAAUUUAUAACUUACACAAUGCAAUAUUUUGUUGUACAAUUAUUCAUCUGUGAUUUCCUGCAGAGAUACUAAUCAGUGGGUGUCACUUGUACUACGGUGCUUAUUUAAUUUAGAAUUUGAGUAUAAAUAACAUCCUCUAUUCCAAGUCAUCUGAAAGCAAAAAGGAGGAGCUAUGUGUUCAAGCACGGAGCUUUGGGUUUCCUGCUUGUUGGUCCACAUCCAUGCCAGGUCCACACUGGCUGAAGAGUUUUGCCACCCAGUGACUGAAAUUAAAAGGUGCAGUAACCAUAGCCGAGUCUGUAAUGAGGAAGAUCUAGAAAAAGCCCCAGAGAAGUGCAGCAGUAUGAUCAAGCAUUGAACGAGGAAGUAAAAAGAGCCCCUUUUAGCUCUGGACUGGCUUCUGCCUGUCUAUUAGCAGAGGAGUGUGGGGAAGUUACUUUAGCAUUAUUGCUCUUCUUCUGUUGGUCUCACAGAAGACACCUAGGCACUGCUCCCUGGCACUAUAGGGGACAUCAAAAAGGAUCUCCCUACACAGCUGCCUGUGGUCUGGCCACUGCCAGGGAUGUUCAUAUGGAGAGACAGAACCAUACUGAGCUGAAAAACAAUCACAGGACUAAAUAAUAAAUCUUAGAACUUUAAUAACUCUAAGAGCCUUAAUAACUCAAUGAGCACAAGAGGAUUAUAGCACUUUUAGCGAUGGGAAAACACAGAUACUAACGCAUUUCCUGCCAAAUAAGCCCAGGUUGUGCUAAUCCUUCAAUACAAGACAGAUGUAAAUACAGUAAAUCCUCUUUCUCAAGCACCCUUUUGCAGGUAUGUGCUUGCCACUGCAGUUCCAGUGCUAUCCAGUGCAGAACGCAUUCCCGGGAUAUAAAAGAGGUAGUCUUGGCACCCCUCCAUGUGAUUCACUCCCUUCCGCAGGAGAGAGUAUGACUGGUCUUUGCAGAACAGAAACAACAGAAGGCAGCUCUGUGUAAGAAGUACAGCUCUGCUACAAUCACACUAGAGAGACAGGACUAUUUACUCCUUACCACAAAAAAACAGGGACAAAAGAUGGUUCUGGGAUGUGAAGUCCCAGUCCUGUGCCCAGUCCAAUAGCUUGUAUCCCUCUCACUCUGUACUUGAUGGAAAUUUUCUUCAAGCUUUUUGUCUAUUUGCUUGUCAACUUAUAAGCACAAAGCUGAAAUAACCAGCAAUCCACCAUUCCUGCUCUCUCUGCUGUUUGUAUUCAUCCAUGCUCCAUAUCUCAGACACAUUUCAUACUGUACAGAUCAUCAUAUCGUAUUCUUCAGUCAGCUUGGUACUAUAAGGCAGCCUAAAACUCACCUGACUGCACUUCUCUGCAACCUCUACCUGACCUGUCAGUGACCCACUGCACUCUACAGAGUCUGAUGUUAAGGAGACCCUCAGAAGUACAGGACUGGUGCAAGUGAAAUCCCCGAAUUGUCAGGACACAACUAGGAAGGAUCUUCCAUAGCUCUUUGCAAUGCACCACUUCCAGGAGCACCAUUUCUCAGCACUGCAUUAAGCAUAUAUCCAAUAAUACCUGUGCACGGCAGGGUACACUGGAUCUGCUUACCUAGAGCUCCUGUGUCUGCUCCGGUCGUGCCAGUAGCUAGGCAGCCAACAUACCGUCACCUCACUUCAAGGAGUAGUGCCUCACAAGGUGAUAUUCUCUGGGAGUGACGCCACAAUGUUGGCCGGUUAGCACUGAGAGGUGGUCCCCGCGCCACCGGAGUGCCUCUCCUGGGGGACACGGCUUCCUGGAGGGACCAGGUCAACAUGGUGGUGAGUACAUGUUGAAGAGGUAGGUUGGGUCGGAAGGCCUCUGCGUAUUCCUGUAGCGUACUAAGCUCUGCUCUCGUUUGUGCCACUGUAAAGUCCGUCAGUGUGAUAUCUACUCAAAAGAGCUUCAUAACAGCUUUCAAAAUAUGCAGUAAUUAUGAAAAUUAGGGAACUUUAAUAAAGAUACCUAGAACUAACAGAUUUUUUUAUUCUAAUGGCCUUAGAAUAUUGGGGUAACUAAAAUUAACUGAGUUGUUAUAUAGGAAUCUAUUAAUUCUUUUACAUGUUCUUCACAUUUUCUCUCUUUUUCUCUCUCUCUCUUUCACUCUGUUUGUUAACAUUUACUUGUUUUUACUGUACGUUGCUUGCAGCUUGUGUAUGUUACAGACUGUCAUAUUUUAUUCUGUGAAGUUUUUCUCCAAUUCCCAUCAACCUGAGCUCCAUAUUGGGCAGCCGAGGAGAUUACAAUACAGUUCUUUAAUGCAAAAGAACAAGGAAUGUCACAGACUAUAGGUAACUUCAUUGAGGUUGUGACACAAAACCUGAUGCAAGGUAUUAAUGCAAAGAGUAAGUACCUGGUAUGACAACAGAACUACUUAGUUAAAUUACUACUUUUUUUUUUUCCAGAUAGUCUGCAUGGGAAAAAUUAAUUUUCAUUGCUCGCCAGCAGAAAAAUUCCCAAGCCUACCAAUUUAGGAUUUUUUUUCCACUACCAUUUUGAACACCAGUGAUACCCAUGUUGACAUAUCAUAACUCAUUUUCAAAGGCUUAAGCCCAUAUUCUCUAUGUUGCAUUUCUCUAAGCUAUAUUUCCUUCCAUACUCUCCAAACCAUAAUUUCAUCAUUUCAUCAUCCUUUGUCUGUGGUUUAAUACAUCUUCUCCACAAUUCUCUUCCUAAUUUAAUAUAGUUAUAUCCCUUUCACUCUAAGGACCUGAUUUAAGAACAACAAAAAUGAGCCCUUGCCCAUGGGAUCCGCAUUUCUUAAUGCUGCAUGAGGCUCUGGAGCCCAUAAAAAUUGAUUUCUGUAGCCUAAGAUGAUCUGGCACGGAAGCAUAAUCAUUAUUUUGCAGAAUCGGGUCUUGAUUGAAGUAUUUUGUUACAAUCUCCCCCAAUUACCUAAACACUACUCUGAAAGAAUGAUAAAAAAACCAGCUUAUAGAUUUUCUUUGUUAAUUUUCUACAGGGACAGUACGAAGUUUAUUGUUUCUAAUCUUAUUCUUAAUCACUAGUGAAUUCUAUGUUAAUUCAGAAAUCGCUACUACCACAGGCAAACUCAAGAAAAGCUUAUUUUUCUCAGUCUGCAGUUCCUAUGCCUCCCAAUUCUCUGUUAUACUCUGAGCCUCCCAUAACCCAGUGGAGAAGCACAGCAGAGCGCAGAUGGAGCCCAGUAUAAAAAGCGAUUUAUACUGAUGCAGUUGAUGACUGGCCAAUGAAUAUCAACGGGCAGCAAACACUAUCCAGGAAACCAAAACAGAAAUAACCUGAUAAUAGGAAUGAAAUUUGAAUUCAAGAGACUCAAAAGAAUGGGGAAUUGAGUUCUAAAUACUGCAUUUCCACACAUGAUCUUGGAGAGAAAUUGGGGGAUAUAAAGUCAUUGGGGAUUUUCAGAUGCUGAGCAGCUCUUAACACUUCCACAGACUCAGGUAAACGUCCUUGGACUCAUACCUUUUACCUACAUUAUGGUCAUUUGCUCAGCACAGGAAGUAGCAGGCAAACAUGAUGCUGCAAAAGCAGGAGGCAAAUGGGAAUGCACAAUCUUUCAUUUUCCCUACAGUAAAGAUGGCUAGGAAAUUCUCUGUCCUCCAUGAGAAACUACGUCAGCCUCAGGGCUGCUCCACCUCCCACUCUCCAGACUAUAACCUCAUAGCUGAAAAAGGCUAGAGCACAGCAGUCCUCCACCCUCAUCUUGGCCAUGCCAUCCUUGUCCCUGUGUCAUGCUAUCACUAGCCUGAGAGACAGGGAAAACUGUCAUACCAAGACAGUUUCUUGUCGCAAGCAUCGCAGAACACAGUUAAUGUCUGCCACGUUAGUAGUUCUUUUAUAUCACCAGAAAAGUGCAAAAGGUCCACAAAACAGAAGAGUUAUUAACUCACUAAGUGGACAAUGUAGCAUUACUUUCUUCAGGGACUCCAGCUGGAUUAAAGGUCUCUGCUGAGACCAGAUCCUUCUUCAGGAGACACUUUGGGCAGCUACUAAAUCCUAGGAGCCAUGCAGCGUGACAGGGCUGAAAAUGGGCAAACACCUCCCCAAGCCAUGAAAUGAAAUCCAACAGCACUCUCUUACUGUUGGGAGCAGGACUAUUCGCAAACUGUAGUAACAGCAGUCCCAGGACUGGGAUUAUGGCUGUAAGAGCACAGCUGCAGCCUAGUCAAGGUGUGGGUCCAUCUUUAGGUGUACAAGGGCUAGUAGCUUGGAAUGUAAUUUUGGUCAAAAAAGGCCCCCCAGUAGAAAGGUCUUCAUCCUCCAAACAACUUUCUCUCUCAGUUCUGGCCCUGUUCUGCACUUGGCUGCUCCUACCUCCUUCCUGCUCCUCAACCCCUUCCCUUGGGAUGGCAGUAGAGACCCUUCAAGUCUCCUGAGUCUUUAUGGGAUGGCAAAUGGCUGCUCAGGGAAGUUGUAGGUGCUCAGCCUUGAGUCCUACAGAAUCCAAGGCCAAGAGUCCUUGCCUCUCUCAAUCCUUAAACAAGGGCUUCUAGGAGGGAAACAGUCUGUUUCCUCCUGGAAGAGAUUUCCAAUGACCUAAAGGGAUUAAAGGAAUCAGCCUGAUGUCUCCCAAUUGCUGUGUUUCUGAUCUAGGGCUGAGAAGACUCUAUGCUCUUUAGCACAAUACCAAGGAAUUUGGCUUUGUUCAUGCAACCAGGCACUGAGAAAGAGAACCUGCAAAUCCCACAGAUCUUUGCAAAGAAAGUCCAGUCAUUGCUAAAUAUAUGCCAACAGAGGCAGUCAGAGUGACCUGACAAGGCGAGAUGGAGAUGAACAUUGAUGGCUAAUAAACAUCUGUGUGGAACUGUGCAGGCAUAGAAGACCUUCUCAUUUGGACAAAGUAAACUCGCUCCAUGCAGGUUUUAUGGAUGAUUGCUCGUGGUUUUGGAGUUGUACUAGAGAUGCAGGCUUUUUCUACGGCCAAAAUGUAACAAAACUGUAGAAGAUCUUUUUUUUUUUAAUCUAUUUUUUGUUCCAUAGCAUGAAUUGCAUGAAGACAAAAAUUAAAAAACAAAAAACAAGAAACACUGCAAAUGUAUGAUUAACCUUAAGGAGAAAAAAAAAGCAAAGUUAUAUAUUUUCUUUCAAAGCUCUUUACUUUUACAUACGUUGUUGUAGCCAAAAUGUAAAACAUGAUAAAACUGUACAUUUCUUUGCUAUGGAUCGCUUCUUUUUGUAUACAAGAUACAGAGUAAUGGUUUUAAAAAAGUGCAAUCAGGCAGUCAUCGGUCAUAUUGACCACGCCUUCACAGUUCAUCACACCGACAUGGAAAUCAAGAACUUUUAAUCCAACUAGAAGUGUAUAAAAAUAAGAAACUUUUUCCUGUCUGUUUUUGUUGGCAUGCUUGUGACACAUGGGACCUUCCUUCGGACCUGACAGUAACAGCUGGUCUAGAUUUAAUUUUCCAGCUCUGGUUAUGUUGUAUUUUAUUGAUGUAUAGAUCCAACGUAAAGACCCUUCAUAAAUUGUUCAUAUUAAGUAAUCAGUAUGAAUUUUAACAAAAAAGUGUUAUUUUAAAACUGGGACUUAUAGUGCAAAAAUCAGGAAAAUACUCAAGUAUAAAAUUGUCUCAAAGUUUAAGAAACAAGACAACAGCACUGUAUGCAAUUUAGUACUUCUGAGUAAAAUGCAUGCACAAUGUUAUGCAAAACAAUUCUAGCAUGAAAUAAAUUUUGUAUCAUGGUU